GGAUGUAAGAAUGGUCUUGCUGUGACAUCCAUCACCCCACUGAUCACCAGUGUUUAUUCGACUGGCCAGACGCAUGGCCCCUUCCUCCCUGAUCACUCUAUAUACAUCCCUGCUGAAGUUCCACACUAGUCAAGGAAGACAAUCUUCCCAGAUAUGGGAGGACCACUCUUCAGUCAAAGGCAGAACCACUACACAAGUUCUCAUAAAGAGAUGCAUAGGAGCCAGUAACACUGAGGCAUCAUGGUAGCUAAUGACUAAUAUAUUAAUUUAAGAAUAUUUUCACUUCAAUUAGCAAUUCUAGAU
This 303-nucleotide small nuclear RNA is filed under the name Octodon degus (degu). Its description in RNAcentral is "7SK RNA (ENSODEG00000024172.1)". It matches the Rfam family "7SK RNA". From Rfam's summary of the family: 7SK was discovered as an abundant small nuclear RNA in the mid-70s but a possible function has only recently been suggested. Two independent studies have found that 7SK RNA binds the CDK9/cyclin T complex (known as elongation factor P-TEFb). P-TEFb activates transcription by phosphorylating the C-terminal domain of RNA polymerase II. The record is from RNAcentral. Lineage: Eukaryota; Metazoa; Chordata; Mammalia; Rodentia; Octodontidae.